Long non-coding RNA from Myotis daubentonii (Daubenton's bat), 4266 nucleotides. RefSeq lists it as uncharacterized. The record is from RefSeq and is a predicted model, not a curated record. NCBI's taxonomy places the organism in Eukaryota, Metazoa, Chordata, Mammalia, Chiroptera, Vespertilionidae.
GUCACGUGGUCCCAUUUACCUGGAAAGGGGACGGUAGUAUAAUCUUACCAUGUGCCUAGAGAGGGUGAUCGGAAAUAUUUGGGAACAGUACUGAACAGAACAGUCACCACAGGGCACAUGCGAGAGUUCUUCAGAAGGUUCAGUCGGGUCUAGUUCUCUGGCAAGAGAGAGCAGAUUCCAGUCUGAAGCCCAUUGUCCCGCCCCUCACAUUAUAGGAAUAGCGUCUUUCUUCUGGAGCCCCAUUCCUGGCAGGCAGCCCUGGCGGACGGCUGACAAGAUGGCUGAAACCCAGCUGCUAUUUGUGAAGGAAACUAUUGUGUUCAAAUGUACAACAUGAAAUUUACCAAUUUAAUUAUUUUAAAGUCUACAAUUUGAUGUAUGAGUACAUCCGCAAUGUUGUGCAACCAUCACCACUAUCUAAUUCUAGAGCAUUUUCAUCAUCCUCAAAGGAAACCCUGUACCCCUUGAACAGUCACUCCCCUUCCCCCCCUCCCUCCAGCCCCAGGCAACCACUAAUCUGCUUUCUGUCUGUGACUUUGCCUAUUCUGGGUAUUUCAUAUAAGGGGGACCUCUGUGUCUUUAAGCUUAGCUACUUUUUGGGGUGUCCUCAUGACUUGUGGGAAGCUCACGAGUGUUGUCAUGCCAAAUGGUGGCAGUGCAGGUGCUCCACAGCUCCCUUCUCCAUCCACCUCUGUCACUCCAAUUGCCAUUUUCCUGGCUCAGAGGGAGGGCAGCACCCUGCUGCCGAGCAGGGAGUGAACAGCCUGCCUCCCCUUCUUUCAAGUUCCUCAGUCUCCAUGGGUGAAUCUCUAUGGGAAGCCCUCCCACACAGGAGGGCUGGGAGGAAGGCGCAUUCCUGCUGCCCAGAGGAAGAAAAGCCACGGUGCCCCCGCCAAAUCUCUCCGAUUCCCGCCCCCUUCCCAGCAGAAAUGCUGAGGUGGGGUGAUUAAUAAUUAAUAUUAACCACAGUUAAUCAAUCCUGGAGGAGGGCGGCAUCUGGCCCCAUAUCUUUUCUGUAUUCUUCAUAAUAUGUGUUAUUUUGCUGCUGUUGUUUUUAGCUAUGGGCCCGACUGCCACGUCUGCUGCAACCAUAAGGUUUGGUAUCUUCUUACACAUCAUUUGGGUAAUGUUCCUCCCCUACUCAACAACUUUCUAUGUCUCUCCAUUAUGAAUGCAAAUUCCAAACUCUUGACUUGGCAUUCAAGGCUCUCUACAAGCUACUUUCAAUGGAGCUUUCUAGCUUCCUUUGUUACCACCCCCAGCAUGAACUCUGUGUUCCUUUCAGGCUGGCCUGCUCCCUCACUGCCCCCAGAAUGGCCCUGCUCAGUUGGGGUUGGCGUCCUUUAUUCUAACAGCCCCCCACGUGGGAUGUGCUUUCUCUCUUCCUCCCUGUGAGGCUCUUUGCCAUUAAGUCCUCUCAGUUUUCCUGGGCCCCCAGUCCUUUCUCCCCUCUGAACUCUGAGGCGUGGUCAGCACCCUCGGGGCAUGUGUCCUGCUGCCUCAUGUGAUGAGUGACCUCCUCACAUGUUUAUGUCUCCCGUGCUGGGGCGGGGUGAGUUGCUGAAUUGCAGCUGCCCCUCCCCUCCCUUCCCCUGCUGUGUCCUCAGAAAGGGCCAGGAGCAGAGCAGGCAGAGGUUCUGUUAGCCAAGGCCACAGAACCCGAAUCUUUUCCUGGCCCCGUGAGUGUGGUGUUAGGAAUGUGAAGGAGGUGACUGGAGGGCUCAGGCAUCUUCCAGGGACACCUGCCCAGGCCAAGCUGGGGUUGGGCGUCUAGAAGAAAUGAUCAUAAUGUUCUCCUUGGGGACUUUUCAGGAUGACCCAGAAGUACAUUCUGUUGUGACCAGCUUUAGGCGCAGGGAUGGGAACAGACGAGGGCAUGGAGUGUGCAAGGAAGGCGAACUGGGGAGGGCAAAUGAGACCAAAACAGAGAGAAAAAGGCAAGUUAGUGUGGGGGAGGGGAAUCGAUUUAGGGACCCCAAACCUUGGAUGAGCAGAGGCAGGCUCUCUCACGUGUUGCUGAAGGAAGGAAACCCUGCCGAAUGGCUCCCACUAUUUUUACAUUGUCCCCCAACUCCCACACCAGGAUUUCCCCUUCCCCCACCAGUUAUCCUCAAGUGGCCGGCCUUAAUAGGUCAAAAGCAGCCCCGCCCGCCCUGCCUGGAGUGUAUCCCUCCUAGGCAAUCCCCUCUCCGUGCUGUGCCUGGCUUUGUUUUUGUGUUUUUGAUUUGGUUUGUUCCAGCAGGAGGGGCUGACUUGUGCCUUGGAGGAAUUAUUCUGAGCCUUGGAGAGAUGCCCAGAGGGACAGAGCUGUGGCCACAUCCCAGUGCAGCCUGACCUUUCUCAGGGUGGCCUAGAGCUGCCCGAGGCCAGAAGUUUCCCUUGGCCGCAGGCACGUGGAAGUGGCACGCCCAGGGCCAGCUGCCCCAGACUCUGCAGGGGUUGGGGGGGGUGUUUUCCCUUUGAGGGUCCCCAACCAGGCCUCCCCACAUCAGGCCAAGCCAGCAGCAUGCCAUUUUAACUCACUGACUUCUGCAAAUCCCUUGCUUCCCUAAACGUAAAGGCAGAGGCUCUGGGCACAAGGCAUUAUCAAGCAAGUUCUAAUAGUCACGCUUCUGAGGGGCCUGUGACUUGGCAUUCAGCGAUGGCGGCCCGAGGACCUGUCUCAGUGUUAUCUCUGCACACAUUCCCCUUCAUGAAGACCUCUCACCCCGACUGCUGCAGCGGCUGCUCCCCGCCUCUCCCCACUCCCCGCCUCACCCCGCUCCCCCCCAAUCCAUGCCAGCUGUGGCUGCUGGGUUCAUUUUAUUAUGGGCCUUCUCUUAUCUUGGCAGUCCUCCACUCACAAACCAUCAGUGAGUCCCACUGCCCAGGAAAUAAAUAACUAGUUUGUGCGCUUACUCCAGAGGGUACAAACCACAUAAGCUCUGCCACCCUUCCCUGAGGCCAGGGCUGGGAGCUGGGGAGAAGGGAGGAGCAAGAUGCUGGGGUACUAUCACCUGUCCUCAUUCCAUUCCCAGUUCCCGGGGGUGCCACUUACAAUGUUGGCCCUGGGAUGAUCCUGCCUCAGGUCAAACAGCCUUUAUGGUUGGGGUUCCCUCUGUUCAUAGGCUUUCCUCAAGUCCUCUCUCUACAGUUAUAUGAUUUAGGAAAGGGAGGUUCUAGGUCAGUGGUUCUCAACCUUCCUAAUGCCGCGACCCUUUAAUACAGUUCUUCUUGUUGUGGUGACCCCCAAUUUCAUUGUUACCAAUUGAACAUAAUUAAAGCAUAGUGAUUAAUCAGGAAAACAAUAUGUAAUUAUAUAUGUUUUCCGAUGGUCUUAGGCGACCCCUGUGAAAGGGUCGUUCGACCCCCAAAGGGGUCGCGACCCACAGGUUGAGAACUGCUGUUCUAGGUGAAUCUCCAAGUUUGCCCCUAACGAUAAGCCGGUGAUGGCUAGGGCUCGGCCCACGUGAUCUCUCAUCUUCUCCCUUACCCACCGCAGGUGGGACCAAUCUACUUCUGCUCAACAGGCCCAGCUGCGGCCUCAACAAACAUUUUCAACACGCCUGCAGGAAGCCGCUGUGGUUCCUUGAGUUUGGCAAGUGAGAAGAAACCGGUUUCCCCUACUCUCAGCUCUUCCAGGGACAUGCAGCUUACUGCAAGGGCCUCCUGUAUCCGGAAUAUUGGGUGUGGAUCUGGUCAGUGAACUUCAAGAGGGACCUACUGUUUCAGAGAAGACUCGGGAUGGCCAGUCCUGAGAGAAGCAGGAAGCUGGCGGGGACACCAGAUAGGAAGGGAGAGAAAAUCAUUGGCUGGGUGCCUCUUGCACACCCCACACUAGGGAUCAAGCCUGCAACCUGGGCAAGUGCCCUGACUGGGAAUCGAACCCUGACUUUCUGGUUCAUAGGUCGACGCUCAACCACUGACCCAUGUUGGCCGGGCUGCAUAAACAUCUUAAUCUGAUCUCAUCAACUCUGAGAGCUGGAGCAGGUGUUAUUAAUGACUAUUCUCAUUUCACUGCUGCUGAGUAAACCUAGACUCAAUUAUUGUAGGCGAUUUAUUUUCUCUUUCUAAUGUUACUGGCCCAGAAUGGCCCAAGGACCAGUAGAAGAGCUGAGAGGUAGAGCUGCGUCUUUUACCUCCCAGUGGCAUCUGGGACCCCAGCAGGGCUGGUGGCCUGUGGCACAUGCAAAUGACCCAUCUCCGCCUUCUCCUCCCUCCCCCACAUUCACACUCGGGGGUCCAAGAGGCGGCAGUCGCAGCCCUCCUAAGCUCGCUUUUCCCACA